Molecule: ribosomal RNA, 253 nt
Filed under: uncultured bacterium
Lineage: Bacteria
Description: partial 16S ribosomal RNA
Rfam family: Bacterial small subunit ribosomal RNA
Source: RNAcentral
UACAGAGGUCCCAAGCGUUGUUCGGAUUCACUGGGCGUAAAGGGUGCGUAGGUGGUGAGGUAAGUCGGAUGUGAAAGCUCCGAGCUCAACUCGGAAAUGGCAUUGGAAACUACCUUGCUCGAGGGUUUGAGGGGGGACUGGAAUACUUGGUGUAGCAGUGAAAUGCGUAGAUAUCAAGUAGAACACCAGUGGCGAAGGCGAGUCCCUGGAAAACUCCUGACACUGAGGCACGAAAGCUAGGGGAGCAAACGGG